This is a long non-coding RNA of Rhinolophus ferrumequinum (greater horseshoe bat), 858 nucleotides long. RefSeq lists it as uncharacterized. The record is from RefSeq and is a predicted model, not a curated record. The transcript has 3 exons. NCBI's taxonomy places the organism in Eukaryota, Metazoa, Chordata, Mammalia, Chiroptera, Rhinolophidae.
CAGUCAGCACCGGGAAGCUCCGGGAACUCUGGGAGCUGUAGUCAGCCCCGGACGAAUGCUGCAAACUUUUGCAAAAGGGUUUUAGUCAGAUUGUUGGCAAUACCAGACGAGAGUGACAACCCGGAGAGUCAUUAGAGCUGCGUGAUGAAACGGGAGUUCACCGGGCUAGGCCCGAGAGCGGGAAUGAAAUCCCUCCCAAUGACAGGCAGAUACUGCGUGUUCAAGAAAGGCGGUUAUAACCAUUAAUAUUUAAAAUCUGAAGCACGGAGCCUGGCAUUCAGCAGGAACCGAAGACGUAAACUGUGGCUUUCUGUCUUAAGCUGGUAUUAUACUUGUUCGUUGUUUUAUUGUUGUAAAAGCAUAAACCUGGAAGUGGCCAAAAUGUCCAUCAAAGGGGCCUGGUUAAAAUAAUAAGCAUAUUCGUCCACACAAUGAAACAUCACGCAGCAACGAAACGGAAGGAGUUAGAUCUCCGUGCUUUACAUAGGUGCUCUACAUGAAAUGAAAACUUGUGCAGGAUUUAAUAUUAGGUUAAAACAAAAAAUAAGUUGCACAAUGAUAUAUAUGGAAUGAUCUCAAAAAUAUGUAUGUACAUAAUUAUACAGAGGCCACAACAGUCUGGAAAGAUGGGCAGUUUCCAAUAAACUGUUAGCAUCCUGUUACCUCUAGGGUAGAGGCGAGUAUCAGUAUAGAGAUUAUAAGACUUUUCAUGUACUUCAAUAUUAGUGGGUUUUUUUUUUUAAUUCCAAGAUGUAUCACGUUAUAACUUUUAAAAGAGGGGGAAAAACUUCAAAAUCCUAAUCCCACUACCAAGAGAGAACCAAUGAUGUAACAUGUUAGUUUUUAUUCUUUGCAUUU